GGCUGGAUAGCUCAGUUGGUUAGAGCAUCGUCCCAAUAAGCCAAGGUUCUGGGUUCAAUCCCCGGUCAGGCCA
This is a non-coding RNA of Myotis davidii, 73 nucleotides long. The record is from Rfam. Lineage: Eukaryota; Metazoa; Chordata; Mammalia; Chiroptera; Vespertilionidae.